ACCAAAGAUGUAGAUUCAGGCCAAGGCAAACUGCUACAGCCUCUCCUAGCUUGUCUCUUUUUCCUUAUUAGUAACUUUCCAUCUUUCUUGAUCCCACUUUGGUGUUGCUUGGCUACAGUUGUCUCGUUUUUCAUCUGCGAAAUAUUAGAAGAAGAAAAAAUAAUCUAGGUCAUAAUUUGACAAAUGGCAGAAGGAAGAAGCCAGAGAAAAAAUGCAAAGAGAAAAUAUCAGAUUAAAUGGAGAAUAUUGCUGGUGGUGCUGAUGAUGGUGAAAGAUAGUGAGCAAGUCCCACUCUCUCAGCUUCAGAAGAUGACAAUGGCAAAUUUCCUUUGAACAAAUCUUGCCAAGAAAACCUUGUGAUAGGUUCACCUUAGGGUUGCCAUAAGUUGGAAAUAACUUGA
Long non-coding RNA from Sceloporus undulatus (fence lizard), 401 nucleotides. RefSeq lists it as uncharacterized. The transcript has 3 exons. The record is from RefSeq and is a predicted model, not a curated record. Lineage: Eukaryota; Metazoa; Chordata; Lepidosauria; Squamata; Phrynosomatidae.